This 254-nucleotide ribosomal RNA is filed under the name uncultured bacterium. Its description in RNAcentral is "partial 16S ribosomal RNA". It matches the Rfam family "Bacterial small subunit ribosomal RNA", at positions 524 to 776 of the family's 1533-position model. The record is from RNAcentral.
UACGUAGGGUGCGAGCGUUAAUCGGAAUUACUGGGCGUAAAGCGUGCGCAGGCGGUUUUGUAAGCCAGAUGUGAAAUCCCCGGGCUCAACCUGGGAAUUGCAUUUGUGACUGCACGGCUAGAGUGUGUCAGAGGGGGGGUAGAAUUCCACGUGUAGCAGUGAAAUGCGUAGAGAUGUGGAGGAACACCGAUGGCGAAGGCAGCCUCCUGGGCUAGUACUGACGCUCAUGCACGAAAGCGUGGGGAGCAAACAGG